AAAUAUUUAUAUAUAUUGGAAUCACACCUACCAUUUGUUAUUACUAUUCUUGUUUCUUGGGCCUCCCUUCUUCUUUGCUUUCUUGCUGGCUAGCUUCUGUCUAGUCUUGUGCAUGUCCACCUCCUACUCCAGCUUCUUGGCACCAGUAAUGGAUUAUCCUGCAAACCCUAACCCUAAUCCUCCUCUUCCUCCUCAUCAGCAUCAGUAUUUUCACCAGAAUAUCCUUGAUCCUUUUCCGGCUGAGUUUCAGUUAUCGGAUUAUCUCAUGCUUGAUGCUGAUAUUAUUGAUGGGUUUGCUGAUGAUUCCACCACGUCUGAGCAUAGUAUGGUCUCAUCGGAGCAGUUUGUUAGUGUUGGAAGUGGUGGUGGUGGUGGUGGUGGCGG
This 384-nucleotide unclassified non-coding RNA is filed under the name Hevea brasiliensis (rubber tree). Lineage: Eukaryota; Viridiplantae; Streptophyta; Magnoliopsida; Malpighiales; Euphorbiaceae. The record is from RNAcentral.